Molecule: ribosomal RNA, 511 nt
Filed under: uncultured bacterium
Lineage: Bacteria
Description: partial 16S ribosomal RNA
Rfam family: Bacterial small subunit ribosomal RNA
Source: RNAcentral
GACCAACGCUGGCGGCAUGCCUAACACAUGCAAGUCGAACGGACAGAACAGGGAAGCUUUUCGGAGUGGAACUGGAAAGUUAGUGGCGGAUGGGUGAGUAACGCGUGGACAACCUACCUUGUAAAGGGGAAUAACCUCGAGAAAUCGAAGCUAAUACCCCAUAAUAACCUUGCUUCGCAUGAAGUAAGGAGGAAAGGCGGCCUUAGCGCUGUCGAUACAAGAUGGGUCCGCGUCUGAUUAGCUAGUUGGUGAGGUAAAGGCUCACCAAGGCGACGAUCAGUAGCCGGCCUGAGAGGGUGAACGGCCACAUUGGGACUGAGACACGGCCCAAACUCCUACGGGAGGCAGCAGUGGGGAAUCUUCCGCAAUGGGCGAAAGCCUGACGGAGCAAUGCCGCGUGAGUGAAGAAGGCCUUCGGGUUGUAAAACUCUGUCCUUAUCGAAGAGAGAGUGUUGUAGUAACUGACAAUACUAGGACGGUAGAUGAGGAGGAAGCCCCGGCUAACUAUGUG